GGAGUUAGCCGGUGCUUCUUCUGUGAGUGAUGUCCUUCCUGCCGGCUAUUAACCCGCAGGCCUUCUUCCUCACUGAAAGUGCUUUACAACCCGAAGGCCUUCUUCACACACGCGGCAUGGCUGGAUCAGGGUUGCCCCCAUUGUCCAAUAUUCCCCACUGCUGCCUCCCGUAGGAGUCUGGGCCGUGUCUCAGUCCCAGUGUGGCUGAUCAUCAUCUCAGACCAGCUACGGAUCGUCGCCUUGGUGAGCCGUUACCUCACCAACCAGCUAAUCCGACAUAGGCUCAUCCGAUAGCGCGAGGCCCGAAGGUCCCCCGCUUUCCCCCGUAGGGCGUAUGCGGUAUUAGCCUGGGUUUCCCCAGGUUAUCCCCCACUACCGGGCAGAUUCCUAUGCAUUACUCACCCGUCCGCCGCUCGCCACCAGGGAGCAAGCUCCCCGUGCUGCCGCUCGACUUGCAUGUGUUAGGCCUGCCGCCAGCGUUCAAUCUGAGCCAGAAUCGAACCCUGA
RNAcentral lists this ribosomal RNA (507 nucleotides) under uncultured bacterium. RNAcentral's name for it is "partial 16S ribosomal RNA". The record is from RNAcentral.